GAUGAACGCUGGCGGCGUGCCUAAUACAUGCAAGUCGAGCGAACGGACGAGAAGCUUGCUUCUCUGAUGUUAGCGGCGGACGGGUGAGUAACACGUGGAUAACCUACCUAUAAGACUGGGGUAACUUCGGGAAACCGGAGCUAAUACCGGAUAAUAUUUUGAACCGCAUGGUUCAAAAGUGAAAGACGGUCUUGCUGUCACUUAUAGAUGGAUCCGCGCUGCAUUAGCUAGUUGGUAAGGUAACGGCUUACCAAGGCAACGAUGCAUAGCCUACCUGAGAGGGUGAUCGGCCACACUGGAACUGAGACACGGUCCAGACUCCUACGGGAGGCAGCAGUAGGGAAUCUUCCGCAAUGGGCGAAAGCCUGACGGAGCAACGCCGCGUGAGUGAUGAAGGUCUUCGGAUCGUAAAACUCUGUUAUUAGGGAAGAACAUAUGUGUAAGUAACUGUGCACAUCUUGACGGUACCUAAUCAGAAAGCCACGGCUAACUACGUG
Molecule: ribosomal RNA, 497 nt
Filed under: uncultured bacterium
Lineage: Bacteria
Description: partial 16S ribosomal RNA
Rfam family: Bacterial small subunit ribosomal RNA
Source: RNAcentral